This is a long non-coding RNA of Hirundo rustica (Barn swallow), 4743 nucleotides long. RefSeq lists it as uncharacterized. The record is from RefSeq and is a predicted model, not a curated record. NCBI's taxonomy places the organism in Eukaryota, Metazoa, Chordata, Aves, Passeriformes, Hirundinidae. The transcript is spliced from 7 exons.
UUGCCCAGGGGGCCUCGUUGCCACCAGUGGAAGGGCCUGCAGCGUCCGACGCUCAGAAGCCAUCGAGCAAGAAAGAAGAGACGUCGUGAGGCAAGACUGAAGAGGAGGAUCAGCGGCGUCGAGGUCAAGAGUGGAGCGGCGAGGUCAAGAGUGAAGAAGAGGAUCAGCGGCUUCGAGGUCAAGAGGUGGCACGUGAGGCCCUCUGGGCAAAUGACAUCCCUGGCAUUUCCAGGGCACAAAUUCCCCCCCAGUCUGGUGGGCGCCUUCAGGGUGCCCCGAAUCCUUUAGCGCUGGGCGACCUCCCUGUAAGCAGGGCUGGGUCUUUGCUUUGGUGCCUUUGGUGCCUUUUGCUGUUCUGCUGCUUUGGCUGCCUGGAGAGAGGGGCGCCCCUGUAAGGAGGGUGAGAGCCUCUGUCUCCAAACAGGAGGAGGGAAAUGGAGCCUCCCCCGAGCCCCCCUGUAGGCAGGGCAGGGCCUUUUCCCCAUCCCCAGCAGAAUUCGGUCUUCAGGGCUGGGCCCCUGUCCCCGGCAUUAGGCCAUGAGCUCGACUGCCUGGCUGUUGAGUCUCAUUCCUGCUCCUGCAGGGGGGAAGGCCAAGUUUUGCGGCUGCCUGGGUGUUGACCAGCCUGUAAGCAGGGUCUGGGUCUGGGAGCCUUUGUGCUCCCUCAGCUGGCAGCCUGUGUGGGGUGACCCCUCCGUUAGCCAGGGGCAGGUCAGGAUGCCCCCGAAGGAGAGACAAGGAGCCUCUCUGGGCCUUUGGGGCCAGCGCCACCCCGUAAGUUGGGGCCAGCGGCCUAGAGUCCCAGGCCCUUUCAGUCCAGGCAGUGGCUGCAGCCUCCUGUAAGCAGGGGUGCAGCCUCUUUGGCCGCUGCUUUGCAAGCCCAGCUUCAUUUGCCCAGGGGGCCUCGUUGCCACCAGUGGAAGGGCCUGCAGCGUCCGACGCUCAGAAGCCAUCGAGGAAGAAAGAAGAGACGUCGUGAGGCAAGACUGAAGAGGAGGAUCAGCGGCGUCGAGGUCAAGAGUGGAGCGGCGAGGUCAAGAGUGAAGAAGAAGAUCAGCGGCGUCGAGGUCAAGAGUGGAGCGGCGAGGUCAAGAGUGAAGAAGAGGAUCAGCGGCUUCGAGGUCAAGAGGUGGCACGUGAGGCCCUCUGGGCAAAUGACAUCCCUGGCAUUUCCAGGGCACAAAUUCCCCCCCAGUCUGGUGGGCGCCUUCAGGGUACCCCGAGUCCUUUAGCGCUGGGCGACCUCCCUGUAAGCAGGGCUGGGUCUUUGCUUUGGUGCCUUUUGCUGUUCUGCUGCUUUGGCUGCCUGGAGAGAGGGGCGCCCCUGUAAGGAGGGUGAGAGCCUCUGUCUCCAAACAGGAGGAGGGAAAUGGAGCCUCCCCCGAGCCCCCCUGUAGGCAGGGCAGGGCCUUUUCCCCAUCCCCAGCAGAAUUCGGUCUUCAGGGCUGGGCCCCUGUCCCCGGCAUUAGGCCAUGAGCUCGACUGCCUGGCUGUUGAGUCUCAUUCCUGCUCCCGCAGGGGGGAAGGCCAAGUUUUUUUUUUUGCGGCUGCCUGGGUGUUGACCAGCCUGUAAGCAGGGUCUGGGUCUGGGAGCCUUUGUGCUCCCUCAGCUGGCAGCCUGUGUGGGGUGACCCCUCCGUUAGCCAGGAGCAGGUCAGGAUGCCCCCGAAGGAGAGACAAGGAGCCUCUCUGGGCCUUUGGGGCCAGCGCCACCCCGUAAGUUGGGGCCAGCGGCCUAGAGUCCCAGGCCCUUUCAGUCCAGGCAGUGGCUGCAGCCUCCUGUAAGCAGGGGUGCAGCCUCUUUGGCCGCUGCUUUGCAAGCCCAGCUUCAUUUGCCCAGGGGGCCUCGUUGCCAGCAGUGGAAGGGCCUGCAGCGUCCGACGCUCAGAAGCCAUCGAGGAAGAAAGAAGAGACGUCGUGAGGCAAGACUGAAGAGGAGGAUCAGCGGCGUCGAGGUCAAGAGUGGAGCGGUGAGGUCAAGAGUGAAGAAGAAGAUCAGCGGCGUCGAGGUCAAGAGUGGAGCGGCGAGGUCAAGAGUGAAGAAGAGGAUCAGCGGCGUCGAGGUCAAGAGGUGGCACGUGAGGCCCUCUGGGCAAAUGACAUCCCUGGCAUUUCCAGGGCACAAAUUCCCCCCCAGUCUGGUGGGCGCCUUCAGGGUGCCCCGAGUCCUUUAGCGCUGGGCGACCUCCCUGUAAGCAGGGCUGGGUCUUUGCUUUGGUGCCUUUGGUGCCUUUUGCUGUUCUGCUGCUUUGGCUGCCUGGAGAGAGGGGCGCCCCUGUAAGGAGGGUGAGAGGCCUGGUCUCUGCAGCCAAGGGGGAAAUGGAGCACCCCCAGGCCACCCUGUAAGCAGGGCAGCGCCUUUUCCCCUUGUCAAUUGGUUUAUUCCCCUGGCCAGCGUGACCCCCUGUACCCAGGGUGUGUCAUGCACAGUCUUCUGUCUCCUGGCCACCCCUCAACAUGUUUAGGCCCUUAUAGAGGGCAACCGUGCAGCGCCCCCGGGGCAGGGCUGAAGCUCUCGUCUCCUGCUCAGCAGCAGGCAGGGCACCCACACAGAGCUCGCUCCCACUCCUGGCACCUUGUCCCUGUGUGUCUUCCUUUGUCUAGUCGGUAUGAGUGAGGCAGUGUGUGUGUCCCCCGUAGGCAUAGAGCAGGUUAGCUUAGGCUUCCCAGCAGGGGGAGAGGAGCUCUGUGACUCAGCCAGGGGUGCCCUGUCCAGCUGCAGGAAGAGACAGGGCCCGGCCUGGCCCCUUGCUCCUGAGGACAGAGCCAAGCCCCUUAAUGGCAGCGUGGGCACCGGGACCCACCUGUAGCCAGGGCCUGGGUGCGAGCCUGUCCUGCCGGGCUGCCUGUCCUUGCAGCUGACCUGCCAGCGUGCCUGGCCUGCCCUCAGAGCAGGCAGCAGCUGCAGCCUCCUGUAAGCAGGGGUGCAGCCUCUUUGGCCGCUGCUUUGCAAGCCCAGCUUCAUUUGCCCAGGGGGCCUCGUUGCCACCAGUGGAAGGGCCUGCAGCGUCCGACGCUCAGAAGCCAUCGAGGAAGAAAGAAGAGACGUCGUGAGGCAAGACUGAAGAGGAGGAUCAGCGGCGUCGAGGUCAAGAGUGGAGCGGCGAGGUCAAGAGUGAAGAAGAGGAUCAGCGGCUUCGAGGUCAAGAGGUGGCACGUGAGGCCCUCUGGGCAAAUGACAUCCCUGGCAUUUCCAGGGCACAAAUUCCCCCCCAGUCUGGUGGGCGCCUUCAGGGUGCCCCGAGUCCUUUAGCGCUGGGCGACCUCCCUGUAAGCAGGGCUGGGUCUUUGCUUUGGUGCCUUUGGUGCCUUUUGCCGUUGUGCUGCUUUGGCUGCCUGGAGAGAGGGGCGCCCCUGUAAGGAGGGUGAGAGCCUCUGUCUCCAAACAGGAGGAGGGAAAUGGAGCCUCCCCCGAGCCCCCCUGUAGGCAGGGCAGGGCCUUUUCCCCAUCCCCAGCAGAAUUCGGUCUUCAGGGCUGGGCCCCUGUCCCCGGCAUUAGGCCAUGAGCUCGACUGCCUGGCUGUUGAGUCUCAUUCCUGCUCCCGCAGGGGGGAAGGCCAAGUUUUUUUUUUGCGGCUGCCUGGGUGUUGACCAGCCUGUAAGCAGGGUCUGGGUCUGGGAGCCUUUGUGCUCCCUCAGCUGGCAGCCUGUGUGGGGUGACCCCUCCGUUAGCCAGGAGCAGGUCAGGAUGCCCCCGAAGGAGAGACAAGGAGCCUCUCUGGGCCUUUGGGGCCAGCGCCACCCCGUAAGUUGGGGCCAGCGGCCUAGAGUCCCAGGCCCUUUCAGUCCAGGCAGUGGCUGCAGCCUCCUGUAAGCAGGGGUGCAGCCUCUUUGGCCGCUGCUUUGCAAGCCCAGCUUCAUUUGCCCAGGGGGCCUCGUUGCCACCAGUGGAAGGGCCUGCAGCGUCCGACGCUCAGAAGCCAUCGAGGAAGAAAGAAGAGACGUCGUGAGGCAAGACUGAAGAGGAGGAUCAGCGGCGUCGAGGUCAAGAGUGGAGCGGUGAGGUCAAGAGUGAAGAAGAAGAUCAGCGGCGUCGAGGUCAAGAGUGGAGCGGCGAGGUCAAGAGUGAAGAAGAGGAUCAGCGGCGUCGAGGUCAAGAGUGGAGCGGCGAGGUCAAGAGUGAAGAAGAGGAUCAGCGGCUUCGAGGUCAAGAGGUGGCACGUGAGGCCCUCUGGGCAAAUGACAUCCCUGGCAUUUCCAGGGCACAAAUUCCCCCCCAGUCUGGUGGGCGCCUUCAGGGUGCCCCGAAUCCUUUAGCGCUGGGCGACCUCCCUGUAAGCAGGGCUGGGUCUUUGCUUUGGUGCCUUUGGUGCCUUUUGCUGUUCUGCUGCUUUGGCUGCCUGGAGAGAGGGGCGCCCCUGUAAGGAGGGUGAGAGCCUCUGUCUCCAAACAGGAGGAGGGAAAUGGAGCCUCCCCCGAGCCCCCCUGUAGGCAGGGCAGGGCCUUUUCCCCAUCCCCAGCAGAAUUCGGUCUUCAGGGCUGGGCCCCUGUCCCCGGCAUUAGGCCAUGAGCUCGACUGCCUGGCUGUUGAGUCUCAUUCCUGCUCCCGCAGGGGGGAAGGCCAAGUUUUUUUUUUGCGGCUGCCUGGGUGUUGACCAGCCUGUAAGCAGGGUCUGGGUCUGGGAGCCUUUGUGCUCCCUCAGCUGGCAGCCUGUGUGGGGUGACCCCUCCGUUAGCCAGGAGCAGGUCAGGAUGCCCCCGAAGGAGAGACAAGGAGCCUCUCUGGGCCUUUGGGGCCAGCGC